GAUGAACGCUGGCGGCGUGCCUAACACAUGCAAGUCGAGCGAACGGACGAGAAGCUCGCUUCUCUGAUGUUAGCGGCGGACGGGUGAGUAACACGUGGAUAACCUACCUAUAAGACUGGGAUAACUUCGGGAAACCGGAGCCAAUAACGGAUAAUAUUUUGAACGGGAUGGUUCAAAAGUGAAAGACGGUUUUGCUGUCACUUAUAGAUGGAUCCGCGUUGCAUUAGCAAGUGGGUAAGGUAACGGCUUACCAAGGCAACGAUGCAUAGCCGACCUGAGAGGGUGAUCAGCCACACUGGAACUGAGACACGGUCCAGACUCCUACGGGAGGCAGCAGUGGGGAAUCUUCCACAAUGGGCGAAAGCCUGACGGAGCCACGCCGCGUGGGUGAUGAAGGUCUUCGGAUCGUAAAACUCUGUUAUUAGGGAAGAACAUAUGUAUAAGUAACUGUGCACGUCUUGACGGUACCUAAUCAGAAAGCCACGGCUAACUACGUG
Molecule: ribosomal RNA, 497 nt
Filed under: uncultured bacterium
Lineage: Bacteria
Description: partial 16S ribosomal RNA
Rfam family: Bacterial small subunit ribosomal RNA
Source: RNAcentral